RNAcentral lists this long non-coding RNA (252 nucleotides) under Dasypus novemcinctus (nine-banded armadillo). RNAcentral describes it as "lncRNA (ENSDNOG00000051828.1)". Lineage: Eukaryota; Metazoa; Chordata; Mammalia; Cingulata; Dasypodidae. The record is from RNAcentral.
AUCGGGCUCGAGUCGCUCUAAUUCCAGGUCCCCUUCCGGGGUCUAGUGGCUGUAGUCGGUGCGUGGAGGGUAGAACUCGUCUAAAGGGAAAAUAUCAGUAGAGGCUUCCACAGUACUUGCCUGGAACCGAACUGGAACCCGUGGUGGAGGUGGCAGUGAGGGAGGUGCUCAAGCUUUAUCUUCUCUGAACUCUGGUUCUCUAGUAGAGGAAACCUGAGGAGUACUGGCAGUUUUAAAAUCAUGGCCCAGGUA